RNAcentral lists this long non-coding RNA (333 nucleotides) under Setaria viridis. RNAcentral's name for it is "long non-coding RNA (SVIR_LNC007464)". The record is from RNAcentral. Lineage: Eukaryota; Viridiplantae; Streptophyta; Magnoliopsida; Poales; Poaceae.
GGCGAUCAAGGUUAUAUCAUUGCAAGUAUUUUUGAUAUAUAUGUCAAUACAAAUCUGAGCAAGUUUAAUUGCAAAAUAAAUGAACUGCGGUAGAAGUGUUUUGAGCAUUGGGGGUGGGGGGCUCACUAUUCAGAAGAAGCCACAAGUAGUUCACCAGUAAAGGUCAAUCUAGCUACUUCACAGUCGGACAGUUGCGAUUACAUCCUGUAGAAAACAUGCAAGAUCAGAAACAACCUUAUCACAUUCUGUAGGAAAAUUAAAAAUGGAAACUUGCGGGAAGUGCUGUGCAAGCAGGCACUCGAUCUCCACAAGCAUUGAUAGCUCAGGAGCAAG